ACGUAGGGUGCGAGCGUUGUCCGGAAUUACUGGGCGUAAAGAGCUCGUAGGCGGUUUGUCACGUCGUCUGUGAAAUCCUAGGGCUUAACCCUGGACGUGCAGGCGAUACGGGCUGACUUGAGUACUACAGGGGAGACUGGAAUUUCUGGUGUGGGGUGGGAUGGCACGAAAAUAAGGAGGACCCCGAAGGGCAAGGGAAGGUUCUGGGUUGUAACCUGAGGUUGGGGGGCGAAAGCAUGGUAGCGAACAG
Molecule: ribosomal RNA, 250 nt
Filed under: uncultured prokaryote
Description: partial 16S rRNA
Rfam family: Bacterial small subunit ribosomal RNA
Source: RNAcentral